Molecule: ribosomal RNA, 495 nt
Filed under: uncultured bacterium
Lineage: Bacteria
Description: partial 16S ribosomal RNA
Rfam family: Bacterial small subunit ribosomal RNA
Source: RNAcentral
GACGAACGCUGGCGGCGUGCCUAAUACAUGCAAGUAGAACGCUGAAGGAGGAGCUUGCUUCUCUGGAUGAGUUGCGAACGGGUGAGUAACGCGUAGGUAACCUGCCUGGUAGCGGGGGAUAACUAUUGGAAACGAUAGCUAAUACCGCAUAAGAGUAGAUGUCGCAUGACAUUUGCUUAAAAGGUGCAAUUGCAUCACUACCAGAUGGACCUGCGUUGUAUUAGCUAGUUGGUGAGGUAACGGCUCACCAAGGCAACGAUACAUAGCCGACCUGAGAGGGUGAUCGGCCAAACUGGGACUGAGACACGGCCCAGACUCCUACGGGAGGCAGCAGUAGGGAAUCUUCGGAAAUAGACGGAAGUCUGACCGAGCAACGCCGCGGGAGUGAAGAAGGGUUUCGGAUCGUAAAGCUCUUUUGUAAGAGAAGAACGAGUGUGAGAGUGGAAAGUUCACACUGGGACGGUAUCUAACCAGAAAGGGACGGCUAACUACGUG